This 610-nucleotide ribosomal RNA is filed under the name Zygaena rubricollis flavicola. RNAcentral describes it as "partial 12S ribosomal RNA". The record is from RNAcentral. Lineage: Eukaryota; Metazoa; Arthropoda; Insecta; Lepidoptera; Zygaenidae.
UGCGGUUAUACAAAAAUUAAAUUAAAUUUUUUUAGGAUUUAAUAAAUAAAAUUUAAAAUUAAUAAUAAUUUAAAUUUUAAAUUAUAAAGUGAAAUUUUAAUUUAAUUAAAAUUUAUUUAUUUUUAUGAUAUUAAUAAAUUUUAUAAAAAACUAGGAUUAGAUACCCUAUUAUAAAAAUUUAAAUUAAAAUAAUCUUAAAAUAGUAUAUAAUUUUUUAUAGAAACUUAAAUAAUUUGGCGGUAUUUUAGUUCAUUUAGAGGAAUCUGUCUAAUAAUUGAUAAUCCACGAUUAAAUUUACUUAAUUUUUAAUUUUGUAUAUCGUUGUUAAAAAAAUAUUUUUUAAUAAUUUUAAUAUUUUAGAAUUUAUAUAAAAAAUUAAAUCAGAUCAAGAUGCAGAUUAUAAUUAAGAAUAAGAUGGAUUACAAUAAAUUUUAUUUAGUUUGAAUAUUAAUUUGAAAUAAGUUAAUUGAAAUUGGAUUUAAAUGUAAUUUUAUUUAUUUUAAUAAAAUGAUUAAAAAUUAAAAUAUGUACAUAUUGCCCGUCGCUUUCAUAAAUAAAUUGAAAUAAGUCGUAACAAAGUAGAGGUACUGGAAAGUGUUUCUAGUAAGAU